GGGUUCUAGAUCAUAAAAAUAAUCUUACAUUUGCACCAGAAAGGUGAUAUGCUGAACUUUCUAGAGAUACAUCGUCGGAGGCUGUAAUUAGGUCAAGGUCGCCAGUUUCGGGGUGGACUCCAAAUCGAGGCUGGUGUUGGGAGCCCACGUGCUCCAUAUUCUUUCACAGCGAAAUUUUCAGGCUCCCUUCCUAUGGUGUUUUUAGGGGUAAAAUUAUUGGAAUAUAGCAUGUAGGGGGAAAAACACAAAUUUGUACCAGUUGCAUUAUUGGUUGUGUGUUCCAAUGACUGAAGAUUUGUUUAGUGCUUGGAGUAAGGAGGAUACCAACUUCAUCUGCAAUCGCUGUGCCUUUACAGUAGAUUUAGUCUACGAUUUUGAAGCUGCUUGCAGGCGAUUGAGAAACAAUCCUACCCAGGUACUGUGUUC
Lingula anatina is the source of this 426-nucleotide long non-coding RNA. The record is from RefSeq and is a predicted model, not a curated record. Lineage: Eukaryota; Metazoa; Brachiopoda; Lingulata; Lingulida; Lingulidae.